CCUACAAAUUAUUUGCCCUGCAAUUUAUGAGGUAAGUUGUGAAAUUUUGCACCAAGUUAUAAUGAUCCUCGUCGAACCUUUGAGGUUGGUAAACUAAGCGCGGUGAGCGGUUGCCAUGGCGAUAGAAGAAUAAGAUUGCAAGGGGCUGAAGCCAGGAUGAAAUGAUGAAUACGAGGCCCUAAGCUGAUGGGAUCGCUUUAAGUGCCUCUUGAAGCCUCGGAAUUAUUUGCGCAAGGAAUUAUUUGCCUUACACAUUGGUGAUUGGUAGCAUCACUUGACAUUAACCCUUGGAUGAGCAGGCUGUUUUUUUUUUUUUUGUUUAUUCUUUGUCUUGUGGCAGAAUUAAUGCAGAGAGCAUCUUUAAAAUGGCUGAUUUCCAGGAUAAGGUGCUCGAAAAUGUCUUUAAGUGUGUCGAGAGGAGUUACUGGAAAGAUAUUUUUGGCAUUCGGAUAUUCGAGUUUAAUGCAGUUAGUAGUCAAAUUUAAAGGAUUAGCAUCUAGAAAGGGUAGAAAAAUAAAACCAUCAUGACAUCUGCAUAGACUGAAUAUGAUAAUGACUUCAUGAGAGUGAUCGAUCCCAAACUUUUUUGACAUGGAGCCACACACACAGCAACACACACAAGCUUCAGUGUCAUCGCGCAAGGCUAAGUUUUUCAACUCCCGACUUUGUUUGGAGACAAAGUACUGGCACCACGUAUGGACAAACUGUCUGGAGCCUCAAGGACGUGCUGUUUUCUAGUGAAAUACGCGAUCCAGCUCCCCAGCCCACACAGACGUCCACAACGAACAAACAAGACGCCGCACCGGAGGCAGUUGUGCGUCGACUGAAUUGCCAUAUAUAUCACGCAAAGAGGUUUUUUGUGAAGGAGGCACGUGCACAACUUAUCGUAAAGAGAUGGGCGGCAUGAACAGAGGAAAUCAGAGAAGCCUCAAUCCGAUCUGUUGAGCAGAACUGCUUUCAGACAUGAGGCUGGGGGGAUAAUGCCGCAGAUUGAUUAAGAAAGAGAGCUGUGAAAGUAGAGACACAGAGACAAGAAUACCUCCUGCAAGGACAAUGGCAACGUUCAUACGAGGGUCUAGUUUAUUCCCUGCCAAGUGUAAGAUAGCAGUUAUGUCACUAAGUGUUGUUCUGUUCUGUGCACAUGACAAGUACACACACACACACACAAAAAAAAAAAAAAGC
Long non-coding RNA from Mugil cephalus (flathead mullet), 1182 nucleotides. RefSeq lists it as uncharacterized. NCBI's taxonomy places the organism in Eukaryota, Metazoa, Chordata, Actinopteri, Mugiliformes, Mugilidae. The record is from RefSeq and is a predicted model, not a curated record. The transcript has 2 exons.